UUAAGUGAAUAAGGGCGCACGGUGGAUGCCUUGGCACUAGGAGCCGAUGAAGGACGGGACUAACACCGAUAUGCUUUGGGGAGCUGUAAGUAAGCUAUGAUCCAGAGAUUUCCGAAUGGGGGAACCCAGCAUCUUUUAUAGGAUGUUACGUCUGCGUGAAUACAUAGCGCAGUCGAGGUAGACGCAGAGAACUGAAACAUCUAAGUACCUGCAGGAAGAGAAAGAAAAUUCGAUUCCCUGAGUAGCGGCGAGCGAAACGGGAAAAGCCCAAACCAACAAGCUUGCUUGUUGGGGUUGUAGGACUCCGAUAUGGUAGUCUAUUCAGAUAGUCGAAAUACUUGGAAAAGUAUGUCAAAGAGGGUAAAAACCCCGUAGGCGAAAUUUGGAUAACACCUAGGAGGAUCCUGAGUACGGCGGAACACGAGGAAUUCCGUCGGAAUCCGGGAGGACCAUCUCCCAAGGCUAAAUACUCCCUAGUGACCGAUAGUGAACCAGUACCGUGAGGGAAAGGUGAAAAGCACCCCGGAAGGGGAGUGAAAUAGAUCCUGAAACCGUGUGCCUACAACAAGUUAGAGCCCGUUAAUGGGUGAUAGCGUGCCUUUUGUAGAAUGAACCGGCGAGUUACGAUAGCAUGCGAGGUUAAGUUGAAGAGACGGAGCCGCAGCGAAAGCGAGUCUGAAUAGGGCGAAUGAGUAUGUUGUCGUAGACCCGAAACCAUGUGAUCUACCCAUGUCCAGGUUGAAGGUGCGGUAAAACGCACUGGAGGACCGAACCCACGUACGUUGAAAAGUGCGGGGAUGAGGUGUGGGUAGCGGAGAAAUUCCAAACGAACUUGGAGAUAGCUGGUUCUCUCCGAAAUAGCUUUAGGGCUAGCCUCGGAAUUGAGAAUGAUGGAGGUAGAGCACUGUUUGGACUAGGGGCCCAUCUCGGGUUACCGAAUUCAGAUAAACUCCGAAUGCCAUUCAUUCAUAUCCGGGAGUCAGACUGUGAGUGAUAAGAUCCAUAGUCGAAAGGGAAACAGCCCAGACCACCAGCUAAGGUCCCCAAAUAACUAUUAAGUGGAAAAGGAUGUGGGGUUGCACAGACAACUAGGAUGUUGGCUUAGAAGCAGCCACCAUUUAAAGAGUGCGUAAUAGCUCACUAGUCGAGUGACCCUGCGCCGAAAAUGUACCGGGGCUAAAUAGUUUACCGAAGCUGUGGAGUGCACCAUAAGGUGCAUUGGUAGGAGAGCGUUCUAAGGGCGUUGAAGGCAGACCGUGAGGACUGCUGGAGCGCUUAGAAGUGAGAAUGCCGGUAUGAGUAGCGAAAGACAGGUGAGAAUCCUGUCCACCGAAUGACUAAGGUUUCCUGGGGAAGGCUCGUCCGCCCAGGGUUAGUCGGGACCUAAGCCGAGGCCGACAGGCGUAGGCGAUGGACAACAGGUUGAUAUUCCUGUACCCGUUGUUUUUGUUUGAGCAAUGGAGGGACGCAGGAGGCUAAGAAGUGCAGACUGAUGGAUAUGUCUGUUCAAGCAGUAAGUCUUGGUAGGAGUCAAAUGCUUCUACCUAUACGGACAAGCUGUGAUGAGGAGGGAAAUAAUAGUACCGAAGCUUCUGAUGUCACACUGCCAAGAAAAGCUUCUAGUGAGAAAACAACGGCCCGUACCGCAAACCGACACAGGUAGUCGAGGAGAGAAUCCUAAGGUGAGCGAGAGAACUCUCGUUAAGGAACUCGGCAAAAUGACCCCGUAACUUCGGGAGAAGGGGUGCUGCUCUAACGAGCAGCCGCAGUGAAUAGGCCCAAGCGACUGUUUAUCAAAAACACAGGUCUCUGCAAAAUCGAAAGAUGACGUAUAGGGGCUGACGCCUGCCCGGUGCUGGAAGGUUAAGAGGAGUGCUUAGCGUAAGCGAAGGUACGAAUUGAAGCCCCAGUAAACGGCGGCCGUAACUAUAACGGUCCUAAGGUAGCGAAAUUCCUUGUCGGGUAAGUUCCGACCCGCACGAAAGGCGUAACGAUUUGGGCACUGUCUCAACGAGAGACUCGGUGAAAUUUUAGUACCUGUGAAGAUGCAGGUUACCCGCGACAGGACGGAAAGACCCCAUGGAGCUUUACUGUAGUUUGAUAUUGAGUGUCUGUACCGCAUGUACAGGAUAGGUAGGAGCCGUAGAGAUCGGGACGCCAGUUUCGAUGGAGGCAAUGGUGGGAUACUACCCUUGCGUUAUGGCCACUCUAACCCGCAGCCCUUAUC
RNAcentral lists this ribosomal RNA (2227 nucleotides) under Enterococcus faecium. Its description in RNAcentral is "bacterial LSU rRNA". It matches the Rfam family "Bacterial large subunit ribosomal RNA", at positions 1 to 2240 of the family's 2925-position model. The record is from RNAcentral. Lineage: Bacteria; Bacillati; Bacillota; Bacilli; Lactobacillales; Enterococcaceae.